AGAGUUUGAUCCUGGCUCAGGAUGAACGCUGGCGGCGUGCCUAAUACAUGCAAGUCGAGCGAACGGACGAGAAGCUUGCUUCUCUGAUGUUAGCGGCGGACGGGUGAGUAACACGUGGAUAACCUACCUAUAAGACUGGGAUAACUUCGGGAAACCGGAGCUAAUACCGGAUAAUAUUUUGAACCGCAUGGUUCAAAAGUGAAAGACGGUCUUGCUGUCACUUAUAGAUGGAUCCGCGCUGCAUUAGCUAGUUGGUAAGGUAACGGCUUACCAAGGCAACGAUGCAUAGCCGACCUGAGAGGGUGAUCGGCCACACUGGAACUGAGACACGGUCCAGACUCCUACGGGAGGCAGCAGUAGGGAAUCUUCCGCAAUGGGCGAAAGCCUGACGGAGCAACGCCGCGUGAGUGAUGAAGGUCUUCGGAUCGUAAAACUCUGUUAUUAGGGAAGAACAUAUGUGUAAGUAACUGUGCACAUCUUGACGGUACCUAAUCAGAAAGCCACGGCUAACUACGUGCCAGCAGCCGCGGUAAUACGUAGGUGGCAAGCGUUAUCCGGAAUUAUUGGGCGUAAAGCGCGCGUAGGCGGUUUUUUAAGUCUGAUGUGAAAGCCCACGGCUCAACCGUGGAGGGUCAUUGGAAACUGGAAAACUUGAGUGCAGAAGAGGAAAGUGGAAUUCCAUGUGUAGCGGUGAAAUGCGCAGAGAUAUGGAGGAACACCAGUGGCGAAGGCGACUUUCUGGUCUGUAACUGACGCUGAUGUGCGAAAGCGUGGGGAUCAAACAGGAUUAGAUACCCUGGUAGUCCACGCCGUAAACGAUGAGUGCUAAGUGUUAGGGGGUUUCCGCCCCUUAGUGCUGCAGCUAACGCAUUAAGCACUCCGCCUGGGGAGUACGACCGCAAGGUUGAAACUCAAAGGAAUUGACGGGGACCCGCACAAGCGGUGGAGCAUGUGGUUUAAUUCGAAGCAACGCGAAGAACCUUACCAAAUCUUGACAUCCUUUGACAACUCUAGAGAUAGAGCNNNNNNNNNNNUUCCCCUUCGGGGGACAAAGUGACAGGUGGUGCAUGGUUGUCGUCAGCUCGUGUCGUGAGAUGUUGGGUUAAGUCCCGCAACGAGCGCAACCCUUAAGCUUAGUUGCCAUCAUUAAGUUGGGCACUCUAAGUUGACUGCCGGUGACAAACCGGAGGAAGGUGGGGAUGACGUCAAAUCAUCAUGCCCCUUAUGAUUUGGGCUACACACGUGCUACAAUGGACAAUACAAAGGGCAGCGAAACCGUGAGGUCAAGCAAAUCCCAUAAAGUUGUUCUCAGUUCGGAUUGUAGUCUGCAACUCGACUACAUGAAGCUGGAAUCGCUAGUAAUCGUAGAUCAGCAUGCUACGGUGAAUACGUUCCCGGGUCUUGUACACACCGCCCGUCACACCACGAGAGUUUGUAACACCCGAAGCCGGUGGAGUAACCUUUUAGGAGCUAGCCGUCGAAGGUGGGACAAAUGAUUGGGGUGAAGUCGUAACAAGGUAGCCGUAUCGGAAGGUGCGGCUGGAUCACCU
Molecule: ribosomal RNA, 1550 nt
Filed under: Staphylococcus aureus
Lineage: Bacteria; Bacillati; Bacillota; Bacilli; Caryophanales; Staphylococcaceae
Description: bacterial SSU rRNA
Rfam family: Bacterial small subunit ribosomal RNA
Source: RNAcentral